AUUUUUGGAUAAUCGCGCAGGUAUUCUUACCUGUGAGGAAAGUCCAUGCUAGCACUGGCUGUGAUGCCGGUAGUGUUUGUGCUAGGCGAAACGAUAAGCCUAGGCACGCCUUGUGCGUGACGGCGGUCAAACGGGCUAAGUCCUUGGAUAUGCUCUACUAGGCCUGAAAGUGCCACAGUGACGGAGUUUUUGGGGAAACCCAAAAAGUGGAACGCGGUAAACCCCUCAAGCUAGCAACCCAAACUUUGGUCGGGGCAUGGGAUAGGCAGAAGAAAGAAUGGCUAUCCUGACUGUGAGAACAGUAGACAGAUGAUUAUCGAAGGAGCUGAUACCUAGUCAGUUCUGGAACAAAACAUGGCUUAUAGAA
RNAcentral lists this RNase P RNA (367 nucleotides) under Streptococcus moroccensis. RNAcentral describes it as "RNase P RNA component class B". It matches the Rfam family "Bacterial RNase P class B". From Rfam's summary of the family: Ribonuclease P (RNase P) is a ubiquitous endoribonuclease, found in archaea, bacteria and eukarya as well as chloroplasts and mitochondria. Its best characterised activity is the generation of mature 5'-ends of tRNAs by cleaving the 5'-leader elements of precursor-tRNAs. Cellular RNase Ps are ribonucleoproteins. The record is from RNAcentral. Lineage: Bacteria; Bacillati; Bacillota; Bacilli; Lactobacillales; Streptococcaceae.